This is a long non-coding RNA of Brassica napus (rape), 3815 nucleotides long. RefSeq lists it as uncharacterized. The transcript has 2 exons. NCBI's taxonomy places the organism in Eukaryota, Viridiplantae, Streptophyta, Magnoliopsida, Brassicales, Brassicaceae. The record is from RefSeq and is a predicted model, not a curated record.
GUUAAUGAACCGCUGCGCUCAAGUUAAAGUGGACACGUGUCAAUUCCUCGACGCAUGACUUAUCUACUUGAAAUCUGACGUGGCGCAACUGGAGGGAAGGAUACCUUCUUUUAUAAUAAUAGAUAGAUAGAUUUCACCGUUUAUAGACUUUGGUAACUUUUGAAAAUCUUCGGUAAAAAUUUUAGUAACGGUGAUUUACAAAACUUAUUUUCUGUUUAAGAAAAAAGAGCAUAAUUUGUGUUAUUCAAAAAACAAAAAUUUAGACAUUGUAAAAAGUUGUCUAAAUUAUCAUUUCAAUAAAAAAAAUAUUUUGGACAUAUAUAUUAUGCCAGUUAAAAAUGGGUGGAUGUACUAAUUUAAUGUAGCUAUAUUUGUAUUUGUAACAUUCUAAGUUAUGAUAUAUAGAAAAUGAUUAAAAGAAUUGAUUUGACUACCUAUAUAACCAAAGUUAGUUUACCUUUUCCAUCACACAUCCGUUUAAAACUUCAGAGUUAAGCGUAUUUAGGCUGGAGUAGUGAGAGAAUGGGUGACCUAUCGGAAAGUGAUUCGCGAUACCGUGCGAGUGAGACCAAAGCACAUGGAAAUGUCAGGUGGUGAUUGCAGGGUUAAUUAAACAAGAUUUUUGGGUCUUGAAAAUAUUAACGCACCGUCUGUUGGAACGAAAUGGAGCCCACAGACCGAGUGAGUGGGCAUGGGUGGUCCGUUAGCUGUGGGCGGUCGGGGGAUUAUAGUAUUUCUAUUAAAUUAUUCACCAGAUCAAGUAUAUAUCAGUCAAUAAAAUAAAUUAUUUUUUUGUUUGACAUGAACCUAUUGAAGUUCAUGUAUAUAUCAAUAUCCAACAUGGAAUUAAAGAUUAAAGACAUCUGUAUCGAGAGUUUUCAAAAGAAUAUGAAAACCUUUCACAUGGAUUUCUCAUUUUUCUUAGAUAUUCUAAUUGAUUAUUCAUAUAAUUUGUGAAUAUUUUUUGUAAAGAAACCGAUCGCAUAAGAACUUUCACAGUUUAGGUUGGGGAAAACAUGGGGGCGAGGCGCAGCCGAAUGUUACGGUCGUGUUCCCCUGACUUUGUGUGAACCUGUGAGGAAAAUACUUCGACGAUAGCAUGAUAUAAUAUAAGCAGAAAUGAGACAAACACUUUUAAUGUUAGAAAACCUCCUCGAUGUGAGAAGGAAAAACCAACGGGACCGUAGUCCACUCAAAAAUCCACUAUAUAAAUGAGUAUGAGUACAGCCACGUCCUCCUUGUUCAACACCCUGAACAGAACAGAGAUUCUAGCUACAAAGAGCUAUCUCCAACACAGCAACAACAACAACAAGAGAGCACCACAAAGAGCUUCAAAAGCAGGCAGCUACAAGACGACCUCAGCUCACUAGGAUUCCCGCAACCAGAGACUAAUCCACCGUACAAAUUCAAGAUGAACAAGUCAACAACACAUCUGCCAAAUUUUAGCUCAGUCAGAAAAGAUCCAACCGUCGGAUUUACCAAACGCUCAAGACAGCACUGCUGAAGAACUGUGACGACAAAGCUUCACUAAAACCCCAAACAACAGAAGAUCCAACCGUUGAAAUCCAAAUCCAUUCGGUUAACCUUUAACCCACUGACUGAAGAAGCUUCCCACAAAAUAUUAGCCCAAACAUGAUCCGUUUGACCCUCCAAAUCUGCCUCGACAAACCCAGACGAAAAUAUGUCUUCUUCUCUCCUUUUCUCUCUUUUGUCUAAUGAGUCUUCUUAAGCACUCUUCUUUCUUGUGUCAACUCUGUGUUCUCUGCUUUCUGCUAACCACACAAAUUAGAUUAAGAGACUUUAUAUAGUGUCUCACUAACCCCCAAGACCCAAUACUAAUCUCAUGGACUAAUACCAAUGGCCCAACUUCCAAGUUUGGUUAUCACCAACCAAACCCAAUGGGUUUCCUCCAUCUAGGAGGAACCCAGCAAACUCCCCCUCCGACUAGGUGGAGAAAAUAUCCAUUCCGGCUAUCCCUCGGUAUACUUCAAGCUUCCCCCUCGGAAAAGACUUUGUCAUCAUAUCAGCUCCAUUAUCAUCCGUAUGAACUUCCUAAGUUCCAUUUCGUUAGAAACAACUACAUCUCGUAUCCAAUGAUACUUCCUCUGAAUGUGUUUUGACUUCGAAUGGAAUGUAGAAUUCUUUCCGAGACAAAUGGUGCUUUAACUAUCACAAAGCAGCACAUAAUUUUCUUGCUUGUAACCGAGUCUCUUCAGAAAAGUUCUUCAUCCACAACAACUCUUUACAAGCUUCAGUUGCAGCAAUGAACUAUGCCUUAGUGGUCGAUAGUGCAACGCACUUUUGCAGCCUUGACUGUCAUGCCACAGCUCCAGCCGCAAACGUUACCAAGUAACCCGAAGUAGACUUGCUAGAAUCAACAUCUCCAGCGAUGUCAGAAUCAGUGUACCUGACAAGCAAAGGCUUCUUACCCCCAAAUGUAAUCUUCAGAUCAGAAGUCCCUCAGAGAUAUCUCAAAAUCUACUUCACAUCAUUCCAAUGUUCUCUUCCCAUAUUGGAGAGAAACCUGCUGACAACUCCAACGGUAUAGGCUAAAUCUGGUCUUGUACAAACCAUGACAUACAUCAAACUACCCACUGCAGAAGCAUAUAGAACCUUCGUCAUAUCCUCCUUCUCCGCAUAUGUCUUUGGACUUUGUUGACGGCUCAUUCUUAAGUGUAGAGCAAGAGACAUUACAAAAAAAGUGGUGAAUUAAAUUACUUAAAUUGUAUCAGAAAAUUAAAUGAUUCUGUUUUAAAUUACUUAUCUACAAAUGAGACAAAUAUAUAUUAUUUAGCAUCAAUUAUAAUAAGUAAUGUCAUUUUAAAUUUAUUUUGCAUCAAUUCAAUAUAAGUGAUAUGCUUUUUAUUCAUUUGUAUCAAUUUAACACAAAUGGUAUUAUUAUAUGUAAAUUAUCAGUUAAAUAAUUGAUACGUUUACUUAUUUUGUUUAACAUCACUUAUAUAUUUGAUACAAAACUUACAUCACUCUAAAAAUGAUACUAAUAAAAAUUAUGUAAUUAUAUAUUAUUCUAACAUCUAUUUAAUAAAAAUGAUGUUAUUUAUCUUAUUUUUAUCAUUUAAAUAUUUGUUAUAAUAAAUUUUUUAAAUAGCUAAAAUUUGAUAAAAAAGGAUUACGAUGUAGUUAAGAUUUUGUAGCUUUAAUAUUUGUUUGUGGCUCUAAUUUAAUUGUACUUUAUUCUUAACAGUUUUUUUCUUAUCCAAAAGCAUAUUCUUUCUUCUAUCGCCACUUCGUCUCUCUCGUGCUUAAACUUAUUUUACAGUUAUAUUGUUAUUAGAUAAAAAUAUUCUACAAACAAUCAAACUUUUUUUUCUCAAUGAGUAAGGAUGAGUGGAUGACGUCCCAUUAGCAAGCCAUUGGUGGCAUGAAGAAUUUUCCCUUAUAUGAGGAUGAUUAUGUUUUCGUUUGCAUGAUUUGAAAGAAAACUAAGGUUUGCUAAUUCAACGAACUUGAUGGAAAAUUUCUAAAAAGAUUAUACUGGAAACAUAUGUCGAGAGAAAGGGUUCUGAUGGUUUGAUUAUGUUGAUUUCAGCAGAAGCGUUAGGUGUUGGAGGAGGAAACUAAUUCUGGUCAGGUGUAAAUGUAUUCUUCGGGAAAAAAUGACUGAUCAUAACUGUCCAGAAGUAUAUGAGAAGAUGGAAGUCUACAAGAAGAAGAAAAAAAGACAAUUUCGGUUGAAGGACUCUCAUUGAAUUUUUUUUUUAAUUGUUGUUCAAUCUUUUUUUUUUUUCCUUUCACUUCUUUGUAUUCACUUUUCAAUAGAAAAAAAAUAUUAAUAUAAAAUAUUUUAAUUUAUU